Molecule: transfer RNA, 69 nt
Filed under: Coracias spatulatus (racket-tailed roller)
Lineage: Eukaryota; Metazoa; Chordata; Aves; Coraciiformes; Coraciidae
Description: tRNA-Pro
Rfam family: tRNA
About the family: Transfer RNA (tRNA) molecules are approximately 80 nucleotides in length. Their secondary structure includes four short double-helical elements and three loops (D, anti-codon, and T loops).
Source: RNAcentral
CAGAAAGUAGUUUAAGUAAAAUGUUAGCUUUGGGAGCUAGUGAUAGAGGUUUGAGCCCUUUCUUUCUGA